This 905-nucleotide long non-coding RNA is filed under the name Elaeis guineensis (African oil palm). RNAcentral describes it as "long non-coding RNA (EGUI_LNC052137)". Lineage: Eukaryota; Viridiplantae; Streptophyta; Magnoliopsida; Arecales; Arecaceae. The record is from RNAcentral.
CAUCAAAUACAAAGCAAGGAAAAGAACUAAACAAAAGGUUCGAGAGAAGAAAUCCAAAAAGACUAUAGAAAAAGUUCAUAAAGUGAAAGAAAGGAAGAAGAAAAGGAAGAAGCCCACCGAAUAAUUGAAUGGUGGCCUAAAAAGCAUGUGUUGGAAGCUCUAGAAACAAUUAGCAGUGAUAGAGAACUCUUCCGACAACAGCACAAGUGGAGACCAAGUGAAGAACUGAUAGAAGGUGAAAGGAAGCAGGAGGGGGUGGCUAAAAUUUAUAAUGCCUCUAAUGGUCCUAAGCAGUCCGAUGGUUCAAUAUACCCAUCUGAGAUGCUGAUACAUGUUAGUCUUUGAUUUCCACAGUAAUCCAUAGUAAUUGAAGAAAACAUGCACUUUGCCACAUGUUAGCUUUGGAGAUGGUGCGUCAGUAACCAAGAGAUCCUGGAAUUGAAUGUUUUAAAUGAUCUUUAUGCACCACCUCAAUUUUCAUGCUUCCAUAAUUAUGGUGCUUCAUUCACUAUGAAAACUAGAGCCUAGAACCUUCUACACAGUAGUAGUGGUGUAAGCGAGAAGCAUCAACCUAAAGACAAUCCUCCUCGGACAUUCCUGGCAACCAAAAAAUGACUCCCCAAUGAACUACUCCUAUCACCCAAUGUUAGCAAGUUACCUUGGACUCAAGUGUGGGGGGCAAGCAUUGGGGUGUUGGCCCAUUUAGGUGAGUCAUUUUUUACAACCACACUACUUCAACCUGGGAUGAGGUGGUGUGGACCAUGAUAUAGUUCCAGCCUAAAGAGAAACAACAAGUUUAUGACCAUGGAUAAUAAUUGGUCCUUUUAUUGAGUGUAAGCUGAUCCUGAUAACCAUCGAUUCCAGUUCAUCACCAACCAAUCUAGACAUCUGUUAAACUCGGCCCU